CGGGACGGGUGAGUAACGCGUGGGUAACUACCCUGUACACACGGAUAACAUACCAAAGGUAUGCUAAUACGGGAUAAUAUAUUUGAGAGGCAUCUCUUGAAUAUCAAAGAUGAGCCAGUACAGGAUGGACCCGCGUCUGAUUAGCUAGUUGGUAAGGUAACGGCUUACCAAGGCGACGAUCAGUAGCCGACCUGAGAGGGUGAUCGGCCACAUUGGAACUGAGACACGGUCCAA
This 234-nucleotide ribosomal RNA is filed under the name uncultured bacterium. RNAcentral's name for it is "partial 16S ribosomal RNA". It matches the Rfam family "Bacterial small subunit ribosomal RNA", at positions 100 to 334 of the family's 1533-position model. The record is from RNAcentral.